This 589-nucleotide ribosomal RNA is filed under the name Daphnia magna. RNAcentral's name for it is "partial small subunit ribosomal RNA". Lineage: Eukaryota; Metazoa; Arthropoda; Branchiopoda; Diplostraca; Daphniidae. The record is from RNAcentral.
CCCCCCGUCGCGGUUAGACGAAGAAUCUAAAUAGAAUAAAUUAUUAUUUUAAUUAACAGUAAAUGAUUUUGAGUAUAUUAUUUUCUUUUUUUAGGUGAAAUUUAUACAAAGAAGUAAAUUAUCUUUAAUUAUUUGAAGGGAUAUAAAAAAUAGAGACCAAAAACCAGGAUUAGAUACCCUGUUAUUCUCUACAAUAGGUAAUGGGGUAGUAAAAGUUGUUCUUCAAACCCAAAGGUUUUGGCGGCAUUCUAACCAAACAGAGGAGCUUGUCUUGUAAUCGAUAACCCUCGUUUUAUCUUACCUUCAUUUGUUUAACUUGUAUACCUCCGUUGUCAGAUUACUCCAAAAGGAUGUUUUCUAUAAAAUUAAUCUUUUUACUUCAGGUCAAGGUGCAGUUUAUGUGAAGGAAAUGGUGAGCUACAGUUUUUAAAAAAAAUACGGAUCUUAAAUUAUAAUUUGGGUGAAGGUGGAUUUGUUAGUAAGCUUAUUUUAGGAAAAUAAACUGAACAAGGCAAUAGAAUGUGUACAUAUCGCCCGUCACUCUCCUUUUAAGAGGAGAUAAGUCGUAACAAAGUAGAUGUAUGUGGAA